Molecule: ribosomal RNA, 521 nt
Filed under: Curtobacterium sp.
Lineage: Bacteria; Bacillati; Actinomycetota; Actinomycetes; Micrococcales; Microbacteriaceae
Description: bacterial SSU rRNA
Rfam family: Bacterial small subunit ribosomal RNA
Source: RNAcentral
GAUGGACUCGCUGGCCUAUCAGCUUGUUGGUGAGGUAAUGGCUCACCAAGGCGACGACGGGUAGCCGGCCUGACAGGGUGACCGGCCACACUGGGACUGAGACACGGCCCAGACUCCUACGGUAGGCAGCAGUGGGGAAUAUUGCACAAUGGGCGAAAGCCUGAUGCACCGACGCCGCGUGAGGGAUGACGGCCUUCGGGUUGUAAACCUCUUUUAGUAUGGAAGAAGCGAAAGUGACGGUACCUGCAGAAAAAGCACCGGCUAACUACGUGCCAGCAGCCGCGGUAAUACGUAGGGUGCAAGCGUUGUCCGGAAUUAUUGGGCGUAAAGAGCUCGUAGGCGGUUUGUCGCGUCUGCUGUGAAAUCCCGAGGCUCACCCUCGGGCUUGCAGUGGGUACGGGCACACUAGAGUGCGGUAGGGGAGAUUGGAAUUCCUGGUGUAGCGGUGGAAUGCGCGGAUAUCAGGAGUGAACACCGAUGGUGAAGGCAGAUCUCUGGGACGUAACUGACGCUGAGGAGAC